CACAAGAUCCAGCGCACUCACCUAUCCACUAAACAGCAACUUCAAAGUUGAAAGAUUUUGUUUUUAAAACCUAAUCUAGGCAAAAAUAAUGGGGUUUUGCCUAGAUUAGGUGUUUUUAAAAACAAAAAAUCUUUCAACAUUGAAGUUGCUGUUUAGUGGAUAGGUGAGUGCUGAUCUUGUG
Molecule: non-coding RNA, 181 nt
Organism: Pelobates cultripes (western spadefoot toad)
Lineage: Eukaryota; Metazoa; Chordata; Amphibia; Anura; Pelobatidae
Source: the annotation of a GenBank genome assembly